AACUGACAGACCUAAGUUUGUAACAAAAUCCUCGAAUAAACGGGAAAUGUACACGCUCAAGUGAGUCCUUUUACUUCUUUUUAUACGAAUUUGAUAAUAAGCAUGACCAUCAACCAAUGCUAGAAAAACGAUUUCAUUAAUGAAAAGAAAGAGGGGACACCUCAGCGCACUGAAGCGGCUACUAGCUGCCCGCUACAUUUAAUCAUCAAUUGUUUUCCUGAAAUCAUAGUAUUUUACCCGUCAUUCUUUAAUUUUUUACAAGUACACCAUGAAACAGUCAAAUCUAAGACCAUAACCCAGCCUAUAAAUCAAAAGAAAAAGAAAUAGUUCAUCAAUAAUAAUAGUCCAUCAAAAAAGUCCAUAAUUAGGCAAUCCAAAAAAAAUAAAGUUCCGUUUGCGCCACAAAAAAACAACGCUGGGGCCCAAAAAUAUUAAUCCGUCUUCGUGCACCAAAAAUACAAGAAAGAAAGAAAAAAAAAAAUUGGAAGGGUCUCACCGGGUCGGCGUUUGUGUGCCCGGGCGGUUCCCUUCGUCAGGCCUGGAUCGCGAGCGCCUCGGGUCCGGUCAACGCUCCGUGUGGCUCUACCUUGCCUCCAGAAGAC
Xiphophorus couchianus (Monterrey platyfish) is the source of this 602-nucleotide long non-coding RNA. RefSeq lists it as uncharacterized. Lineage: Eukaryota; Metazoa; Chordata; Actinopteri; Cyprinodontiformes; Poeciliidae. The transcript has 3 exons. The record is from RefSeq and is a predicted model, not a curated record.